RNAcentral lists this non-coding RNA (24 nucleotides) under Arabidopsis thaliana (thale cress). The record is from RNAcentral. Lineage: Eukaryota; Viridiplantae; Streptophyta; Magnoliopsida; Brassicales; Brassicaceae.
ACCGGUAGUGUUCCGCAAAACUCC